UUAGCUAGUUGGUGAGGUAACGGCCCACCAAGGCAAAGAUGGGUAGCUGGUCUGAGAGGAUGGCCAGCCACACUGGAACUGAGACACGGCCCAGACUCCUACGGGAGGCAGCAGUGGGGAAUUUUCCGCAAUGGGCGAAAGCCUGACGGAGCAACGCCGCGUGAGGGAUGAAGGCCUCUGGGCUGUAAACCUCUUUUAUCAAGGAAGAAGAUCUGACGGUACUUGAUGAAUAAGCCACGGCUAAUUCCGUGCCAGCAGCCGCGGUAAUACGGGAGUGGCAAGCGUUAUCCGGAAUUAUUGGGCGUAAAGCGUCCGCAGGCGGUCUUUUAAGUCUGUCGUCAAAGCGUGGAGCUUAACUCCAUUACUGCGAUGGAAACUGGAAGACUAGAGUGUGGUAGGGGCAGAGGGAAUUCCCGGUGUAGCGAUGAAAUGCGUAGAUAUCGGGAAGAACACCAGUGGCGAAGGCGCUCUGCUGGGCCAUAACUGACGCUCAUGGACGAAAGCGUGGGGAGCGAACGGGAUUAGAUACCCCGGUAGUCCACGCCCUA
This 548-nucleotide ribosomal RNA is filed under the name uncultured bacterium. RNAcentral's name for it is "bacterial SSU rRNA". It matches the Rfam family "Bacterial small subunit ribosomal RNA", at positions 241 to 804 of the family's 1533-position model. The record is from RNAcentral.